UGCACAGCAGAUUCACCUUCUCCCGAUCAUUAGCAUGGGAUAAUGGAAUAGGACCCUGUCCUCCUAUUUUCAGUUGGGUUUUCGAGGACCAGGGUAAUGAUUAAUAGGGGAUAGUUGGGGGCAUUAAUAUUUAAUUGUCAGAGGUGAAUUCUUGGGAUUUAUGAAAGAUUAACUUCUGCGAAAGCAUCUGCCAAGGGAUGUUUUCUUUAAUCAAGAACGAAAGUUAGGGGAUCCGAAAACGAUCAGAUCCCCGGUAAUCUUAACCUUAACGAUGCCGACCACGAUUUAGAGACAUUGAAUACAAACACCCCAUCUGUGUCGUCCUCUGGGUGGGAGGUCCCCCUCCCGGGGGCGAACCACCCAGGGCCCGGGAAGCCCCAC
This 381-nucleotide ribosomal RNA is filed under the name Acanthamoeba sp. EGM49. RNAcentral's name for it is "bacterial SSU rRNA". It matches the Rfam family "Eukaryotic small subunit ribosomal RNA", at positions 774 to 1102 of the family's 1831-position model. Lineage: Eukaryota; Discosea; Longamoebia; Acanthamoebidae. The record is from RNAcentral.